GGCUCAGGAUAAACGCUGGCGGCGCACAUAAGACAUGCAAGUCGAACGGACUUAACCAUUAGUUUACUAUUGGAGCGGUUAGUGGCGGACUGGUGAGUAACACGUAAGCAACCUGCCUAUCAGAGGGGAACAACAGUUAGAAAUGACUGCUAAUACCGCAUAUGCCAUGAAUAUCACAUGAUAUAAAUGGGAAAGGAGCAAUCCGCUGAUAGAUGGGCUUGCGUCUGAUUAGAUAGUUGGUGGGGUAACGGCCUACCAAGUCGACGAUCAGUAGCCGGACUGAGAGGUUGAACGGCCACAUUGGGACUGAGAUACGGCCCAGACUCCUACGGGAGGCAGCAGUCGGGAAUAUUGCGCAAUGGAGGAAACUCUGACGCAGUGACGCCGCGUGCAGGAAGAAGGUUUUCGGAUUGUAAACUGCUUUAGACAGGGAAGAUAAUGACAGUACCUGUAGAAUAAGCUCCGGCUAACUACGUGCCAGCAGCCGCGGUAAUACGUAGGGAGCAAGCGU
Molecule: ribosomal RNA, 511 nt
Filed under: uncultured bacterium
Lineage: Bacteria
Description: bacterial SSU rRNA
Rfam family: Bacterial small subunit ribosomal RNA
Source: RNAcentral